Molecule: ribosomal RNA, 402 nt
Filed under: uncultured bacterium
Lineage: Bacteria
Description: bacterial SSU rRNA
Rfam family: Bacterial small subunit ribosomal RNA
Source: RNAcentral
GGGGAAUAUUGCACAAUGGAGGGAACUCUGAUGCAGCAACGCCGCGUGAGUGAAGAAGGUUUUCGGAUCGUAAAACUCUGUCAUUGGGGAAGAAUAAAUGACGGUACCCAAUGAGGAAGCCCCGGCUAACUACGUGCCAGCAGCCGCGGUAAUACGUAGGGGGCGAGCGUUGUCCGGAAUUACUGGGCGUAAAGGGUACGUAGGCGGCUAUAUAAGUCAGGUGUGAAAUACCAGUGCUUAACACUGGAAUUGCAUUUGAAACUGUGUAGCUUGAGUGCAGGAGAGGAAAGUGGAAUUCCUAGUGUAGCGGUGAAAUGCGUAGAGAUUAGGAGGAACACCAGUGGCGAAGGCGACUUUCUGGACUGUAACUGACGCUGAGGUACGAAAGCGUGGGUAGCGAAC